CCAAUAUUCUGUGGGUAAUUUUUAAGAGUAGGUCCACAUGUGUGCAAAUUUGGAGCAACGCGCGCCACGGUAGACUCAAUCUAUAUCGUGCUGUGCUUCGUUGCCUCACGUGUGCUCCACCUCGUCAUGUAGCGCAAAUUGCACUCUCCAAGCUUGAGCGAGUGAAUGGGAAAUCUCUACCCCAUGCCUAAAUGAUGUAGGACUGGACGGAUGCUGGAUGCUUAUCUUAAUUUGAGAAAAUCAACCCAGUUUAUAUAAGGGUUCACCCUGAUUUAGCCCGGCAACACUAGACAGAAGACAGUAGGAGCGUAUCAAAUCUACAGAGAAAGCGAGGCAAAGGAAAAUAUGGACAUAACGGACCAAGGAGCACAAAUGGAGCCGCUACUACCCUUGGAACCAGGCCCCCAGAGCCCUCAGAUACCUCAAGGAGACAAGAAUGUGAGGACUGAUGAGGAGGCGUCACUAGGACAGAGGGGGC
Molecule: long non-coding RNA, 478 nt
Organism: Salvelinus sp. IW2-2015
Lineage: Eukaryota; Metazoa; Chordata; Actinopteri; Salmoniformes; Salmonidae
Source: RefSeq, a predicted model, not a curated record